AAAAUACCACAUCAACUUUGUUAUCACCUUCACCCCUAAUCCUAAUUAUCAAGGAAUCUAGUCAUCGAAAUACAAAAGGCUAAAGUCCACCCUCUUUUAUGCAUAUUUUGUUAAUCAAUCUCUUAGAUUUACUAUUGUAGAACCCUAUGGCAUUCAUAUAUCAUUUCCUUAUGCAACAUAAGGAUGAAAAAAAGAAUAAGAAAAUUUGCGAUAUCAACACUGAAGAACAUGACAAACUUAGAUUAACAAUAGCGUUUGAUAUUUCCUUCUCCUUAGAGUGUCAAAUGUUACAAUUUUUACAAGAUGCAGAUGAAUAUAAUAAUAUAAUAUACGUAAAACCAUCCUCUCAACUAGAUAGAGCUGAAAAACAAGGUGCGUUGGGCUGGGCUUAAGAGAAGAAGCCGAAUGUGUCGAAAAUGGUAGUGUGAAGUGGGUCACUCAAGUGGGUAGCCCAGUUGUUAAGUGGGCCUUUUCCAGUAGCAGCAGCUUGGACAGCAAAGCCCAAGAAGGCAACCAUAGCAAGACGAGCAUGCUUGAUCUCAGCAAGUUGAAGUGUGGCUUUUUUCUCCGGGUCAGCAGCAAGGCCCAAUGGGUCGAAGAAUGAUCCACCAGGGUAAAGCCUCUUUUCCGGGUCAAGCUCAGCGUUUCUUUGGAAUUCAAUGUAUCCAAUAACAAGGACCUCAAUCCAGAUCAAUGUUGUAAU
RNAcentral lists this long non-coding RNA (703 nucleotides) under Nicotiana tabacum (common tobacco). RNAcentral's name for it is "long non-coding RNA (NTAB_LNC013962)". The record is from RNAcentral. Lineage: Eukaryota; Viridiplantae; Streptophyta; Magnoliopsida; Solanales; Solanaceae.